Molecule: ribosomal RNA, 1015 nt
Filed under: uncultured bacterium
Lineage: Bacteria
Description: bacterial SSU rRNA
Rfam family: Bacterial small subunit ribosomal RNA
Source: RNAcentral
CAUGCAGUCGAACGGCAGCACGGAGCUUGCUCUGGUGGCGAGUGGCGAACGGGUGAGUAAUAUAUCGGAACGUACCCUGGAGUGGGGGAUAACGUAGCGAAAGUUACGCUAAUACCGCAUACGAUCUACGGAUGAAAGUGGGGGAUCGCAAGACCUCAUGCUCGUGGAGCGGCCGAUAUCUGAUUAGCUAGUUGGCGGGGUAAGAGCCCACCAAGGCAUCGAUCAGUAGCUGGUCUGAGAGGACGACCAGCCACACUGGAACUGAGACACGGUCCAGACUCCUACGGGAGGCAGCAGUGGGGAAUUUUGGACAAUGGGCGCAAGCCUGAUCCAGCAAUGCCGCGUGAGUGAAGAAGGCCUUCGGGUUGUAAAGCUCUUUUGUCAGGGAAGAAACGGCGUUUUCUAAUACAGAAUGCUAAUGACGGUACCUGAAGAAUAAGCACCGGCUAACUACGUGCCAGCAGCCGCGGUAAUACGUAGGGUGCAAGCGUUAAUCGGAAUUACUGGGCGUAAAGCGUGCGCAGGCGGUUUUGUAAGUCUGUCGUGAAAUCCCCGGGCUCAACCUGGGAAUGGCGAUGGAGACUGCAAGGCUAGAGUUUGGCAGAGGGGGGUAGAAUUCCACGUGUAGCAGUGAAAUGCGUAGAUAUGUGGAGGAACACCGAUGGCGAAGGCAGCCCCCUGGGUCAAAACUGACGCUCAUGCACGAAAGCGUGGGGAGCAAACAGGAUUAGAUACCCUGGUAGUCCACGCCCUAAACGAUGUCUACUAGUUGUCGGGUCUUAAUUGACUUGGUAACGCAGCUAACGCGUGAAGUAGACCGCCUGGGGAGUACGGUCGCAAGAUUAAAACUCAAAGGAAUUGACGGGGACCCGCACAAGCGGUGGAUGAUGUGGAUUAAUUCGAUGCAACGCGAAAAACCUUACCUACCCUUGACAUGGACGGAAUCCUUUGAGAGAUCGAGGAGUGCUCGAAAGAGAGCCGUCACACAGGUGCUGCAUGGCUGUCGUCAGCUCGU